GAGAUAUUUGGGAGGCGUCUAGUCUAUGGGAAACUGAUUAGAAGAGCCGUAAUCCAUGGGUGUUUCUGACUAGGAAGAGUGAUAAGAGCAGAACAUUCUAGGCCCACAGGCAUACACUGUAAAUGUAUCAGGCCCGAGCAAGGCCCUGGGGAUGUGUGGAUACCACUUAAUUCCACUCACCAUUCUCUCGGGGUCUGAGGGAAAUCAGAUAGCUUAAAUAAGAGUGUUAUAGUUGCAGCAGCAAAUAAUUUAUAAAGGGAAUGCGAUAGAGUUCCUAGUUACCUUUGUUUGUCUUCGUAAAGUCAGUGAUUAUCAUUGCAUUGAAAAUGAAGGUGAUUAUGAAACCUUUAAAACAUCCUCAGUGUGACCAUAGAAGAAAUCUUGACCAUUUCUCCUAAAAACCACAAGCCCAAGGCAGUUACUUCUUAGCUCUUUUUUUUUCACUCAGUUAUGUAAACGUCCAUUUGUGGGAACACCAGAGUUGAUGUCGUAAUCUCAUUUUAAAGAGUGCCGAGCUGGGGCCUGCUCUCGUGUGCGUGGAAGGAGAAUCCGUGGGCAGCUCUCGUCUGCAUGGUUCCCAAGUGCAGGCGUGUCAUUAAAGCAGGAUGGGGCUGACUCUCAGUCCCCGCUCACUCCCUUUAUGUCAGCGCAGAAUCCAAAAGGAACUUGAAGCUCUGCGCCUUCUGGUGAUGUGGACCAGGAGGAGGGGAAGGGAGCAUCAGGAAGAUUCAGCCAACCUGUAGUGGGAGCUGUGGAGCCGCUACAUGGACGGGGACUGGAGAGGCAGUCUGGGAGCUGUUAGAGGACUUCUCUAGGAGCUAUGUCUAUGUAGCAAGCAACUUUAUAAUGUUUAUUUAGGAUGAUGAGGGUGUUGGCUCAAAACCCCAGACCACCCCUCCGUGCUACCGCUGUAAGCUACUAAGUCUUUUAUAUUCGGAAUUAGGCACCGCCCCCCACCCCCUGCGUUUCUUGCUAUUAAUUUGGUUUCCUUGUAUGAGUCCCUUCCUCCCAAUAGACUCAGUGUGUCUCUAAGGAACAGGUCAGGCAUAUUCCCCCUCAGAAUACCACCAAAGCAGCCACCGCCGUGUUCACACAGAGCAAACAUUUAGUAACUUUGUUAUUAAUGAUUUGCGUAGUUGGCUUCCCUAAUGAUUUACAAACAAAAAAGAGAAGCGUGCCUUUUCCUGUCUCUCUUACUUGACCUCUAAGUUAAUAAAAUGAGUGACAGAGAGAUUGCAACUGUCGAGAAGUGAGGACCCCUUUUAGGAGUGUGCCAGGGGUGCUUGUCACGCCUUUCCCUCG
Molecule: long non-coding RNA, 1302 nt
Filed under: Equus asinus (donkey)
Lineage: Eukaryota; Metazoa; Chordata; Mammalia; Perissodactyla; Equidae
Description: lncRNA (ENSEASG00005033599.1)
Source: RNAcentral